Long non-coding RNA from Canis lupus familiaris (dog), 564 nucleotides. RefSeq lists it as uncharacterized. NCBI's taxonomy places the organism in Eukaryota, Metazoa, Chordata, Mammalia, Carnivora, Canidae. The transcript has 4 exons. The record is from RefSeq and is a predicted model, not a curated record.
ACUUGGCGAACCGGCUGACCGGGAAGACUGUCUGGCGAGUAUCUGUGCUGGGUCUUGGGAUCCUGGGACGACUUCGGCAGGGACCCAGGGGACUGUAGAGAUGGUCCCUGGACCAGGGGUGACCUGGCCACAGCUGCUGCCCUGCCAGCCCCAUCAUUCUUCUUUAGGAUUCGGAUUACAACCCCCACCGCAUAUGGCGGGUGAGCCCUUUCUGGCUACACUUCUCCGACGUCGACGCUUUGGCUCUGAACCCAUGAGCCUCAUCAUUAAACGUCGCCGUAUUUUCACGCAGUUCCUGCGAUUUUCAAACAAGUGUGUUUCCGUGCUCAGCAUGUCCGUGAAGUCAGCUGUUUCUGGAGCCCGUGACUCUGCCUCGGAUCAGUCUGCCAAAUCUACCGGCAGGUUUUGCAUGGAAGGUCCUGAAUUCCGGGGUUCCCAGAACGGGCUCCUGCCAGGCACAUCCUCUUGCAGUUAUAAUGUCAGCAGAGCUGGUUUUAAGCACUGUGGAGAGGAUGAUGGGGCUUUGGCUCAAAUGCCAGCCCCUUCCCUGGCAUGACCUCAGGC